UGGGGAAUAUUGCACAAUGGGCGAAAGCCUGAUGCAGCAACGCCGCGUGGGGGAUGACGGCCUUCGGGUUGUAAACCUCUUUUGUCGGGGAAGAAGCCUUUGGGUGACGGUACUCGGGGAAAAAGCACCGGCUAACUACGUGCCAGCAGCCGCGGUAAUACGUAGGGUGCAAGCGUUGUCCGGAAUUAUUGGGCGUAAAGAGCUCGUAGGCGGUUUGUCGCGUCUGCCGUGAAAUCCUGGGGCUCAACUCCGGGUCGGCGGUGGGGACGGGCAGGCUAGAGUGCGGUAGGGGAGAUUGGAAUUCCUGGUGUAGCGGUGGAAUGCGCAGAUAUCAGGAGGAACACCGAUGGCGAAGGCAGAUCUCUGGGCCGUUACUGACGCUGAGGAGCGAAAGCAUGGGGAGCGAACA
Molecule: ribosomal RNA, 409 nt
Filed under: uncultured prokaryote
Description: bacterial SSU rRNA
Rfam family: Bacterial small subunit ribosomal RNA
Source: RNAcentral